This 738-nucleotide ribosomal RNA is filed under the name Platygaster sp. OSUC 627831. RNAcentral's name for it is "partial 28S ribosomal RNA". It matches the Rfam family "Eukaryotic large subunit ribosomal RNA", at positions 423 to 918 of the family's 3401-position model. Lineage: Eukaryota; Metazoa; Arthropoda; Insecta; Hymenoptera; Platygastridae. The record is from RNAcentral.
GAGAACCCGAAAGUCGAAUGGGGAUAUUCAGCGUUCGGUCGAGCCUCGUGCUUCGUGUUUCGAAUUUCGAAGCUACCGUGGCUUGGCCGUCGUGCACUUAUCCCCUAGUAGAACGUCGCGACCCGCUGGUGGACGGUCAAAUGGUACCUCGUCGCAGACCGCGUCUUCGUCGUUCACCGUUCACGCGGCGAACGCUCGAAUCGUGCGGAGACUUGGAUUCAAUGCCAGAUCGUCGGGCCGGCGGUAGUCGAACGAGACGGCAUUAAGCCGCUGUUGAAUUGCGUUUCCUCGAGCGAAACUAGUCGGAUAUCAUGUCGAAUUUGGGUAGGCCUAGUCCUCCCUGUCGAUAUCCGAAUUUUUUUCGCUUUGAGCGAAACUGGCUUUUUUUUUAUGCCUGUCAGCGACGCUAUUGCUUUGGGUAAUUUCAGGACCCGUCUUGAAACACGGACCAAGGAGUCUAACACGUACGCGAGUCAUUGGGCAAAUAUGAAACCCACAGGCGUAUUGAAAGAAAAGGCCGGCCCUCGCGCCGGCCGAGGGAUGAUGGGCACGCGUGAAAGAAGCGGCUCCGCAAUCCCGGGGCGUCCCGUAGCUCAUCGCGAGCGGGGGCGCACCUAGAGCGUACGUGUUGGGACCCGAAAGAUGGUGAACUAUGCCUGGCCAGGACGAAGUCAGGGGAAACCCUGAUGGAGGUCCGUAGCGAUUCUGACGUGCAAAUCGAUCGUCGGAGCUGGGUAU